Molecule: long non-coding RNA, 1865 nt
Organism: Gadus morhua (Atlantic cod)
Lineage: Eukaryota; Metazoa; Chordata; Actinopteri; Gadiformes; Gadidae
Source: Ensembl
AAAAAAAACUAUAGCCGUACACUAUGCAUAACGCCAUUAACCCUAGAAAAAGGAAAUUCAAAUCUAUAGACGGUAAUCCCAAGAGACGGCGUAGAUCUGAUAGUGGGGGUAGCAUUAUGGAUUUAGAACUUGAAGAGAUGACAAUGCGGUAUGACGCAACCGGCAAUACGUCUCAUUUGUCGGGCGUAGGCCAUGUGGUGGGUGGGGGCAUGUAUGCAGAAGGUUGUUUAGACAGGCGGGAAAUAUGUGUUGGCGUAGAUAGAACUAGACGGGUGUUAAUUGCAGCUGAUGCAUGGGGUCGUAGCAUGGCUAAUGCUCUAUAUCAGGCAGCACAGAUAAAUGUUUCGAACGAACCAUGUCUAGAUGACGUGGUGGGGCUAGAGGCACCAGGAGAUUUAGACACAAGGGGUGUGUUGUAUGCGGGGGCAAACACACGAGAUGUACUUAACGCUGUCGGGGGGCGGUUGGAUAGUGCACAAGAGUCUAUACAUAUCCACACAGAUCGAUGUAUUGCAUGGGUCGCAACGUGAUGAAGGGAUUGGCGAGGGUUUUCAGGACCCCCCGGCUGUGGCAGGGGUCCCUAUAGAGUCGAAUAUACAGGGCGGUGGUGGUGGCGUGGGGGGUGGUGGUGGUGGCGGUGAUGGCGAUGCUGUUGUUGACGAUGAUGGCAGUGGUGACGGUAGCGGUGUGGGGGAUGGAGGUGCUGGUGAUGGUGCUGCUUAUGAUGGUACACAGGUGCCUGCUGUAACGGGGGAAGAUAAUGACGAGUUGCAUACCAGAUUAUUUCCCCGGUUUAACGGCUUUGAGGUUAGACAGUCCAUUGACCUGAGAAGUAUAUCCCUUGCAAAUUUACAGGAGGUCCCUGAUUUGAUCAGGGAGAGGCUGUCAGAUGUCAUAACAAGCUGCUCGCAAAGUGCAGCCGAUGGUAGUGUCUUAAACGUGGUGCUGAGAGGUCCUUCAUUGGCCUCUGAUGUACAGGCUGUGCUCGUAACGGGUGACGAUUACAAUGAGGAUUUGUUUAUGGAGCAUAUUAGCCAAGUCAUACAGAGCAACGACACAGGUCUGACGGAUGAUGUGCUAGAGCUGAUGGUCACAGGGGUCCACAACAAACGGGGUGGGGCACGUUUGAAGUUAAAAAACAUUCCCUAUGAUGAAAUCAUACACAAGAAGAAGCUAAGUCUCUACACACCGAGUAAUACUCACGACAAUUUGUGUUUCUCACUAUGCAUGACACAUUUUCUGCAUGAGGGGGUAACCGGGGGCGACACAGCGGCCAAAGAGACUAAUUUGGAGGCGGCUCGCAAAUUACACAGGGAUCUGGGGUUUGCCCCAGAUCACCCUGUGGGUUUCUCGGAUGUUUCCAAAUUUGAGAGACAUCUAGAUGUUAAAAUCCUGAUAUUUCAUCAUAAUGAUGCAUUCAGGAAGCUGGAGAUGUUCCAGACACAUACGGACCAACAUCCAAAAACAGUAUGGCUAUACCUCCAUGAUAGCCACUAUCAUUGCAUAGAGAACAGAACGGCAUUCUUUGUUACGGGAUAUGUGUGUGAAUAUUGCUACAAGGCCCAUGAGGGAAUUCUAUUACACAAAUGCCCGAUCCAUUGCAAUGUGUGUCUGACAGUGUGCGAUAGACUAUCAGGUCGCACGAUAAAGUGCAAGGACUGUAGUCGUAUAUGCCGCUCGCUGGUCUGCUACAACACACACAAGAAGCAUUCUGCCAAACAUGACAUGAUACCUUGUGAAAAGCUCAAAUACUGCGAUCGUUGUUGUAGACAGUAUAUCAUAUCGAAGAAGAAGAAGAAGAAGAAGGGGGUGGGGGAGGGGGAUGAGGAGGAGGAGGAGGAGGAUGAGGAAGGUGACGAUAAUGG